CGGGUGAGUAACGCGUGGGUAACCUGCCUCAUACAGGGGGAUAACAGUUGGAAACGACUGCUAAUACCGCAUAAGCGCACAGUGUCGCAUGACACAGUGUGAAAAACUCCGGUGGUAUGAGAUGGACCCGCGUCUGAUUAGCUAGUUGGUGGGGUAACGGCCUACCAAGGCGACGAUCAGUAGCCGACCUGAGAGGGUGAUCGGCCACAUUGGGACUGAGACACGGCCAA
Molecule: ribosomal RNA, 230 nt
Filed under: uncultured bacterium
Lineage: Bacteria
Description: partial 16S ribosomal RNA
Rfam family: Bacterial small subunit ribosomal RNA
Source: RNAcentral